This 446-nucleotide ribosomal RNA is filed under the name uncultured bacterium. Its description in RNAcentral is "partial 16S ribosomal RNA". It matches the Rfam family "Bacterial small subunit ribosomal RNA", at positions 338 to 795 of the family's 1533-position model. The record is from RNAcentral.
CCUACGGGAGGCUGCAGUCGAGAAUCAUUCACAAUGGGGGAAACCCUGAUGGUGCGACGCCGCGUGGGGCAAUGAAGGUCUUCGGAUUGUAAACCCCUGUCAUGUGGGAGCAAAUUAAAAAGAUAGUACCACAAGAGGAAGAGACGGCUAACUCUGUGCCAGCAGCCGCGGUAAUACAGAGGUCUCAAGCGUUGUUCGGAAUCACUGGGCGUAAAGCGUGCGUAGGCUGUUUCGUAAGUCGUGUGUGAAAGGCGCGGGCUCAACCCGCGGACGGCACAUGAUACUGCGAGACUAGAGUAAGGGAGGGGGAACCGGAAUUCUCGGUGUAGCAGUGAAAUGCGUAGAUAUCGAGAGGAACACUCGUGGCGAAGGCGGGUUCCUGGACAUUAACUGACGCUGAGGCACGAAGGCCAGGGGAGCGAAAGGGAUUAGAUACCCUUGUAGUC